AAAGUCGUAACAAGGUUUCCGUAGGUGAACCUGCGGAAGGAUCAUUAUUGAAUCCUUAGGAUGUUGCUGGCCUUUAGGGGCAUGUGCACUCCACCUUUCAAUCCACCUGUGAACUUAUUGUAGGCCAGAUGUUAAAGUCUGUGUCUAUGUUUUUAUACACCCUAUUAAAAAAGUCUUUGAAUGUUUAAUGAUAGACCUUUACUGGUCAAUAAUUAAUACAACUUUCAACAAUGGAUCUCUUGGUUCUC
RNAcentral lists this unclassified non-coding RNA (248 nucleotides) under Basidiomycota sp. RNAcentral's name for it is "partial contains small subunit ribosomal RNA, internal transcribed spacer 1, and 5.8S ribosomal RNA". The stretch from base 1 to 47 matches the Rfam family "Eukaryotic small subunit ribosomal RNA", at positions 1785 to 1831 of the family's 1831-position model. The record is from RNAcentral. Lineage: Eukaryota; Fungi; Basidiomycota.